GUGGGUGUUUGUGCACAGGAGGGGCGGAAAUAGAAUUGACAACUGGAAGCAGAGGAGAGUAUGGAUCAGUGAUUGGAAAGGGGGUAACAGAAAGUAAUAGGAAGCCCAGCCAGGGUAUAAUUAAAAUAUAUUAUAAUAAUAACCAGGAUCUGGGCAGCCCAGGGCUGGGUAUAGCAGCUCUUACUAUACAAUAUUAAAUAUAAUAUCUGUACAUAGCCAUAGAAACCCUAUUACAGACACCCUGCAUGAAAGGUCAGCUAAGAUGUAUGGACUAUCUAGUAAUGAGUCAAUAAAUAUAUAUAUAUACAGAUAGUACAGGGCUGUGAGAGAGCUGUCAGUAAUAAAAUAGAGAUAUACAGAUAGUGCAGGGCUGUGAGAGAGCUGUCAGUAAUAAAAUAGAGAUAUACAGAUAGUACAGGGCUGUGAGAGAGCUGCUAGUAAUAAAAUAGAGAGAUACAGAUAGUGCAGGGCUGUGAGAGAGCUGUCAGUACUAAAAUAGAGAUAUACAGAUAGUGCAGGGCUGUGAGAGAGCUGUCAGUAAUAAAAUAGAGAUAUACAGAUAGUACAGGGCUGUGAGAGAGCUGCUAGUAAUAAAAUAGAGAUAUACAGAUAGUGCAGGGCUGUGAGAGAGCUGUCAGUAAUAAAAUAGAGAGAUACAGAUAGUGCAGGGCUGUGAGAGAGCUGUCAGUAAUAAAAUAGAGAUAUACAGAUAGUACAGGGCUGUGAGAGAGCUGUCAGUAAUAAAAUAGAGAUAUACAGAUAGUACAGGGCUGUGAGAGAGCUGCUAGUAAUAAAAUAGAGAGAUACAGAUAGUGCAGGGCUGUGAGAGAGCUGUCAGUAAUAAAAUAGAGAUAUAUAUACAGAUAGUACAGGGCUGUAUAGGGUCCUCUGCCAAGCUAUGGUGCUCUGGAAGCAUUGGAGAGUUAUAUAGAUUGUAAGCUCCAGGGACAAGGGAGUGUGAGCCAAGUUACAGGGAUACUGAGGAGAACCACUUCUCAAAAUGUCCCUGGAGGAUCCUUUCUCUGUGGUCAGAAGGUGAGUAGGUUUGUAUGUUUUGCUGUCUGGUGAUCCUGGGAGUUGUAGUGGGGUCUCUGUUGAUUGAUACAGACACCUCUUCUUUGUCUGACUACGAAAGGCUACUUUAUAUUUUUUUCAAGAACAGAUCAGCAGUUUGUAAAAUGUGUAAUAACAGCCUUCACCUUACCUGCUUUCAAAUGGAUGUAUGGGUGUAUUCAAAGAAUCAUGAAGAACUGACAAAAUCAUUUAAAAAAAUUAGAUGAAAAUAGCUUGAAAAAAACAUCUUCCAGUUUGGCUAAUGUUGUGUAAAAUCUGUGUUCCCUCUUCUAUUUGCAAAAAGCAUAACUGUGAUACAUUUAUUCAUUUUACUUUUUCUAAUUUAUUUUCAAAGUAUUGCAGAAACAGUUGAGGUGAGCUUUUAUAUAAUUGACGAUAUCCUACGGAUAAUUCACUUAGUUGUGAGUGACUGGGAAUUGAAGAGGGUACGCACAUUUACCAUAUUAGCCAAAUUUGGAAGAGUUGCCGAGUCUAAAAAUUUUAAUAACAUUUUCUGAAAUAUUUGAUUUCUAGUCUUAAAGGUUUACUGCAACCCUUUUCUGACAGUUUUAUUUUUUAAUGAUUAAUGCCUUAUUUUUGCACAGAACUGACAUUUGGUUUCCAGGCUGCCAAAGUCUUGUGUGUCAAUAUUUUAAUUAGCCCCAGCACACAGUGCAAAUACCUAAUAUAUGUGCAAUAUUUCAAGCAUAAAUCCUUUAAUAGAUGGGAAAAAAGACUAAUUAAAGGGACACUAUAGUCACUAGAACCACUACAGCUUAAUGUUUUAGUUCUGGUGUCUAUAGACUGUUACUGCUCACUUAGCACUGUGAACACUGACAUUUCAGAGAGAAAGCAGUGUUUACAUUGCUGCCUAGUAACAACUUUUGUGGCGGUCUCUCAGACGGCCACUAGAGGUGCUUCCUAUCUCAGUGCUGCACAGUGUGCAGUACUGGUGUUCAGCGCCUCUAUGCAGAAUGCAGAAAUUCUAAACCUUCCUCAUAGAAAUUUAUUGAUUGAAUGCAUUUCUAUGAGGAGAUGCUAAUCAAGAUUGAUGAUCUCAGCCAUGGAGGCUGGGCCAGCAUGACGUUGGAGAAAAGAUACGUAUACUAUCUUUAAUCUUCACAGAUAGGGGGCCAGGGGCCUAAUGAUGUAUUCCGCAAGUAUAGUGUCAGAAAUACAUGUUUGUUUUCCUGACACUAUAGUGUCCCUUUAAAUAUUUUGGCGUAAUUGUUAAAUCUUAAGUGCACCUUUCAAGGCUUAUUUUUUUCAUUUUUUUUAUGCACUGUCUAUUUUCCACCACCGCAGUGAGGUGCAGAAAGCACUGAACACCAGUCGGGGUCUGUACCAGCGCUGGUGCGAGCUACUUCAGGAGAGUCAUGUGACCAGUGUGGAGGAGUUUGAUUGGACAACCAAUGAACUUAGGAAUUCACUGAGGAGCAUUGAAUGGGAUCUUGAGGACCUGGAAGAAACAAUCAGUAUCCUUGAAGGGACACUCCAGGCUGCCACACGUUAGGUGCACUGUGUAGGUUAGGUUACAGUUAGUUAUACUGGGUGGGUUUAUAUUAUUAAAGGGACACUCCAGGCUCCCACACACGUUAGGUGCACUGUGUAGGUUAGGUUACAGUUAGUUAUACUGGG
This 2691-nucleotide long non-coding RNA is filed under the name Pelobates cultripes (western spadefoot toad). The record is from RNAcentral. Lineage: Eukaryota; Metazoa; Chordata; Amphibia; Anura; Pelobatidae.